CCCUGCUCAACAGUGUGCUCCCGGUGAUACUGCUGCCCAGAACGGGGACUGGCUUUGCUAACAUCCUGACGAGACAUCGGGGAGAGACGGGAAGUGGCAGGUUGGGUAAGAUAGAGGAGGAAAGGACUCUACCUCAUGGCUUGUCCAGAAGAGGGCAGGGCCACCCUUGCAGCCAGGCCUCCCGGGCCCUGGAGGUAGGAGGGGGACGACCGCCUCUUAAGAGCACUCUGAAACCAGGAGCCUGUGCUUCUGGGCCUGGAGGCUUCGCUUCCACUGUUCUGCGCUGCCGCCCUGGCCACCUCCCCUCCACUGUGUGGCUUGAGGAGAGGAGCGUGGAGUGGGCAGGCUCUUGAUGCCAAGCCAAGAAUCUGCAUGGCUCAUUUGAAACUUCUCAGUGCCCUUUAUCCCUCGUUCUCUUUUAUGUACAAGCUCGUCUUUCUCCCAUGCAGUUGUAAACCCCAAAGGGUAGGGACUGUAUUCUGUUCCUUAUUUAUAUCCUGUAAGACAGUGACUCUCAAACUCGUCAGAAUCACCUGGGGAGUUUUAAAAACUUGAUUCCUCCAGAAACCAUAAAGACCAAAGAUUUUAAAAUAUCACCAUAUUAAAACAGAAUGAAGCAAAAACCUUCUGUAAAGCUAAACAAACAAACAAACUCAUGAAUCAGUCAGAAGAAAUUAUAAACAAGGGGAAAACAGUAUUUGGAACAUAGAUGGAAGACACACUAAUUUCUUUAAUUUGCAACGAAUAUCUAUAAAUAAGAAAUAUACAAACAACUCAAUAAAUGCUGGGCCAGGAAUCUGAACUGGCAGAACAUGGAAAAGAAAUACCAGUGACCAAGAAACAUAUGAAGAGCCGCUCAUCCUUCCUCAGAAGAGACGCAAAUCAGAACAAUGCCAGACCACUUUUCAUGAAUCUGAUUAGCAAAAAUUAUAAAGUUUCAUGAUGCCCAUUGCUGAUGAGAGUAUGGAAGCAGAUGCCAGUGAAUGCAACCUUGGUGGAUUUUGGCAUCUGUGUGACGAGGUGGGGCAGUGACUCUCACACCUGCAUGAGCUUCCGAAUCACAUGAUGAACUUUUAAAAACAUAGAUUCCCUGCGCCCCCAUCCCAUACCGCCAUAAGACACCCACAUGUAAUUAAGGGCACAAUUUGUGAAGUUCCAAAUGGUAAUAGAGACCAGACUAAUAAAUUUCAACUAAAGGAAUUUUGUCAACAUACAUUAACAUUUUUAAAACAUGAGUAACCUUUGACCCAGCAAUUCUACCGAUGGGAGCUGAUUCUGAAAUUUCCCACAAAAGAGUAUCAACGUCGACAAGAAUGUAUGCCCACGGCAGCAUUAUUUGUAUAGCAAACAACCUCAAUGUCCAUCAAUAGGAACCUGAAUAAAUAAACUGUGGCACACUCUUAGAUCUUUUAAAGAGAUUUAGUAGGAACUCCAUUUGCUGAUAUAGAGCAGUCUCUGAGUUAUGUUGUGCAAUGAAAAAAUCAAGCAGCAGAACAGUAUAAAUGGUGUAAUCCAUUUUCCACACAACUUUUAAAAUGAUACACCAUAUACUUUGGUAAAUGCACAAAUUCUUUUUCAAUGGAAAAUCUACAAGAAGCUGAUAACAGUGGCACCUUUGAGGGAAGGAUGAGAAGAGAGGUUCUUACCUUUCAUUCAGUACUGCUUGAUUUUCCUGCUUUGUGCAUUGAUUACUUUUAGUGGAGAACUUCAGUGAGUGUCAUCUGAAUGGUGGAGUUAUGGGACAAUUUUGGUUUCUCCUUUAGAGUUUUCUGUAAAGGAUAUUCAAGAAUUGAAGAUUCGCAGGCCAUAUACCAGAUACACCAAGUUUGGGUGGAGAUGCUGGCAUGGGACUCUAGAAAUCAGCUUGUCAUGUGAUUCUCCUCAUCAGUCAGGUUUAAGACUCACUGCAGAAGAUUCUGGAAGAAAGAUGCCCUCUUCUCUAGCUCAGGGGGUAUCAGGAUGAGAGGGUGGGGUGGCUGCAGCCCUUUUGUUUCCAUGGAAGGAGAACCUGAAUGACCUUGUGCGACCUAAGGUCAAAGAAAUGCAUAGCUGGCAAGUAAACCACAGAGAGGAACUUGUCCCCUGGUACAUCAGUAGGCCACAGAAUCAUGUCUUUUUCUGAAGAAGGACGUCCUGUGUCUAGACUUUUCAGUUAUGAAGCCAAUACAUCCUCUUUGUUGUUUAACGCAGCUUGAGUUAGGUCUUUUGUCACAUGCAAUAUUAAGAAUCCUAACUGAUAGACCUCCACUGAGACAAGCUGAGUAUGUCUUUAUCCCUUGCAGCCUGAAAUUGCCUAAUUUAUAAAGUAUUUCAUGAUGUUUGCAAGAUAAACCCUUGUCUGGUGCCUUGGGCUACAUCUGAUUGCCUGCAAUAUUUCUGCCUCUAGAAAUGAACUGUCAAACCAAGAAGUAUGUCCUUGGAAUGCAUCCUCCACGUUAGCAAAAGAAUUAUGUGUUUUGUUUGCUCUUCAUCAUGCAACUCUUGAAUAAAUUUGGAUGCAACAGAUUAAGGGCAUAACCAGGAAAUA
This 2527-nucleotide long non-coding RNA is filed under the name Pongo abelii (Sumatran orangutan). RNAcentral describes it as "lincRNA". The record is from RNAcentral. Lineage: Eukaryota; Metazoa; Chordata; Mammalia; Primates; Hominidae.